Molecule: ribosomal RNA, 680 nt
Filed under: uncultured bacterium
Lineage: Bacteria
Description: SSU rRNA
Rfam family: Bacterial small subunit ribosomal RNA
Source: RNAcentral
AUCCUGGCUCAGAUUGAACGCUGGCGGCAUGCCUUACACAUGCAAGUCGAACGGUAACAGGUCUUCGGAUGCUGACGAGUGGCGAACGGGUGAGUAAUACAUCGGAACGUGCCCGAUCGUGGGGGAUAACGGAGCGAAAGCUUUGCUAAUACCGCAUACGAUCUACGGAUGAAAGCAGGGGACCGCAAGGCCUUGCGCGGACGGAGCGGCCGAUGGCAGAUUAGGUAGUUGGUGGGAUAAAAGCUUACCAAGCCGACGAUCUGUAGCUGGUCUGAGAGGACGACCAGCCACACUGGGACUGAGACACGGCCCAGACUCCUACGGGAGGCAGCAGUGGGGAAUUUUGGACAAUGGGCGCAAGCCUGAUCCAGCCAUGCCGCGUGCAGGAUGAAGGCCUUCGGGUUGUAAACUGCUUUUGUACGGAACGAAAGACUCCUUCUAAUAAAGGGGGUCCAUGACGGUACCGUAAGAAUAAGCACCGGCUAACUACGUGCCAGCAGCCGCGGUAAUACGUAGGGUGCAAGCGUUAAUCGGAAUUACUGGGCGUAAAGCGUGCGCAGGCGGUUAUAUAAGACAGAUGUGAAAUCCCCGGGCUCAACCUGGGAACUGCAUUUGUGACUGUAUAGCUAGAGUACGGCAGAGGGGGAUGGAAUUCCGCGUGUAGCAGUGAAAUGCGUAGA